Molecule: long non-coding RNA, 767 nt
Filed under: Mus musculus (house mouse)
Lineage: Eukaryota; Metazoa; Chordata; Mammalia; Rodentia; Muridae
Description: predicted gene, 58410
Source: RNAcentral
AAUUUGGAUCACAACCUCACAAUGGGAUGUCAUCACAAUUAAAAGAGAUUUCAACCUUGAUUUCUUCAUGGGACUGUCACUUUUGCACACCACAAAGCACAUCGGAAUGGACAGCAUUGCACAAAUGUGACAUGGCCCUAAGUGAAGAAGGUUACAGUCUGUAUAAUGUUGUGCAUGUUGUGGUCCACACCUACCAUGAACUCAUGCUUCAACAAGUAGAGUCUCAGAAAAUAGCAGAACAGAAAGGAUUAUUCACUGACUGUCAGCAGUGUUGGCACAUGCCUUUAAUCACAGCACUUGGGAGUCAGAGGCAGGAGGAUCUCUGAGAUCGAGGCCAGUCUGGUCUACAAAACCCAACAACUUCUUAUAUCUGAAGACCCGGAGUGGGCCACAGGAGGAACAUCAGUUCCCUUCUCCAUGUGUAGUGUGGCAUGUACUGCUGGAUUCAGGAAAAUUCAUCAGGAAGAAACAGCAGACUGCUGUUUUGAUUGUGUUCAGUGCCCAAAAAAUGAGGUUUCCAAUGAAACAGGUACAUGCUUGCAUGCAGAAGAAAAAUUGCUAAAUUUGAAUGUGUUCUCUUUCCAAACAAGAAAUAUAUGGUCUAGAUGAAAAUUGAAGACCUAAAAUCUUCAUGUUUCACUACUUAAUCAGUUAAAUAAUAUCAACUGCUUUUGGACCCAGCAAAUAGCCUGCAAUAUCUUCUUCAAACAAUGUAUUUCUCUCACAAUAUGAUGGUUACUGAUUUUAUGUUACAUAGAAAAUGUUUA